This is a long non-coding RNA of Brassica rapa (field mustard), 3966 nucleotides long. RefSeq lists it as uncharacterized. The record is from RefSeq and is a predicted model, not a curated record. Lineage: Eukaryota; Viridiplantae; Streptophyta; Magnoliopsida; Brassicales; Brassicaceae.
GAUCCGGUUUUCUCUAAACCGGUAUUGGGAUUGAGUUUAUUAUUUAAUUGGACUAAACCAAAAUAAUUACAAAACCAAAGCAAUAUAUAAACUUGUAUGCAUCUCCUUCGUCAUGUUAACCUAGCCGUCAUUUGUAAGAGAUCACCAUCGUUGUACCAUCUCUUCCCACACCCCUCUCCUCCAUUCAAGUUUUCCUGCGAUCAACCUAAUGUCAGUUCCGUAAGUAAGAAGACGAGACUACAAACCCAUCACCAUUCCAUCUCAUGUGUGUUGAUGUGAGCAAAGCCGAGAGGAGAAGACGUGCGAACCGGAGCCACCAUCUCAUCAUCACAAACCACCAUUGAUUUGCGCCGCUGUGAGCCUAAAGCUACCAGAUGUGUGUGUCUCAUAGCAAUGGAGAUACUUUCGCGAGCCAGAGAUUUCUCCAUGUCUUAAGCCGAGGAGAAGAGAUGACCUAUAUUGGAUCCAUGGCUGACGAGUGGCUUUGCGGGAGGAUCCUAGAUCGAUUCAGGGGACCUUAGCCUUUGAAACAUGGCUCUUUGGAUAGAUCUAGUUUCCAGGAAUCUGUAGCAGCAAACGGAAUCGAGAUCGGAGUUGUACAGAAAAAGUUAUUGACGUUGCUUCUUGGCCAAGCAUAAACUUAAGCUGUUGCGAUGCAGAGACAGUUCCGACCAGUCUCAGCGUAAAGGCGAAACGGUCGACCAAAACAGAAGCUUUCAGUACGGAAAAUUUGUCAGUAAGUAGUUAACUCUUUUAUCUAUCAUCUCCAAGAAGCGGAUUGUCAUUCCCAGUUAUUUUCUGAAAGUUGUGUUUGUUCUCGCGAGAGGUAUUGCUGCAGUCUUCGUAUUCGACCAGCCUGGAGGUGAAACCAUUUUGGUUAAUCAAAUGGUGUCCGAUCGGAGUAAACCCGGUGGCUAUGGACAAAGGACAUAUAGGAAUACAUUCUUACCGGAGGGAUCAAAAGUUUAACGGUCAGUUCUCGAGUUAUGCAUCUGCUUUUCUCGAGGGUUCAGGUCUGACCAAAUCCCCAUAUUCGUCUAUUUUUCAAAAGUUCAGGAGUUGUUAUUUUAGAGCCGUCAAAGUCCAUUCGGUGUGUUCUCAGGUUUUCUGAAGAACCCGUGGCAAAGGUGAAACUGACGAGUAUAUGAUAUUUGGAUGGAUUGGUGCUACUGGCUUUUAUUUCGGAUUUAUAUUUGGGCUUAGGGUGAUUGGAGUCGUGUAUAUGGGUUAUUGUGUUAUGAGGUAUUGUUGGUGGCAAGAUUUUCUCUAGAUAGGAGGUGACGGGUGUCACAAUUUGGUAUCAGAGCGGGGUUCCGUCCCGGCCUCGACCCGGGAUGGCGAUUAGGGGAUUCGGUUUCCUACGUUUUUAAAAAAAUAAUAGAAAUAACUUAUAUAUAUAUAUAUAUAUAAUUAAAAAAAAAUGUUUGCGAAGUUCUUUUAGCACCAUUCUGUCCAGUAAUUCCUAACUCAAUUGUCUCUUUCUAUGACGAUGAGUAAAAUGAUCGUCAUUCAUCCGUCGACUAACAGGGUUCUAGCUAUAUGUUCAGCAGCAGAUGGGUGAUGUCUCAGUUUGCCAGUUUUCUCAGGAGUGUUACCUAUUUCUUCGGUCAUGAUUCCGAGAUUAUCCAGGAGUGGAUAUUUGACGUUUCUGCUUCCACCCUACUUCAAGCAAUUGUUCCACGAGUUUUGUCACGGGAGAUUACGUGAUAUGAGGUGUGAGCCAUUAGUUGGCAUGUAUUGUUUUAUGUACGAGUAUGUUGACUAUUUUGGAGGUAUGUUCGGUUUGUAAACUCAUGGGGAUCACUUUUGGAUUGGGAGUGCGGCAGCUUGCGUUGUAUGGAUAUUAGAGUUAUGCUUGACUUUGUUUCCCAGUUUUUGGCAAUGUUGUUCGUUUCAGAGAUGUGUUAGUUCAAACGGCUGACAUGGGAUGUGGGAGCUAUUUAUAUUCAUCGCAAUGUACCAGUUAUGCUCGGAGGACUGAUUUGUUUGGAGACUCUUCAGAGAUUGAGCUACGUUUUUACGAUGUCAUCCAUGGGAUGGAUUGGCUACCACAACAUCGAGUAGAGUUGGAUUGCCUGAGGACAAGAGUUGAUAUUGCUGGAGCAGAUGAGAAUUUUUAUUGCAUGUAUGCUACAUGCUGAAGAGUUAUUGGAUAUAAGAGCAUAUGGAUUUUCAUCGAACAUUUUGAGAGUUAAAAUGAUGGACAGCAUGAGUUGCAGGAUCUUCCAGUCAUUGCAGAUUAUGAGGAUGUAAUUGUGGUCUUUGGAUUGACCACAACCAGACACAUGAGAUGUUCUUACGAUUGAGUUGGAACCAAGGACAUCAUUGGUUUCACGAGUUCUAUACCAAUUAGCAGCAGUAGAGAUGACCGAGCUGAAAGAGCAUAUGGAAGAUUCAUUAGACAUGGAAUUUAUCAGACCAAGUACUUCACCGUAGGAAGCAUCAUUAUUUUUUUUAAGAAGAAAGUUGGAAGUUUCAGUUUUCGUAUCAACUACAUAAACUUGAACAUGAUAUCCACGUAUUAAUGAGUUGUUGGAUUACCUACAGGAGGUUCAUGGUUCUUGAAGAUUGACUUGGCAUCACGACACCACCAGAUUGCGAUAGAUGACGAGGAUAUGCGGAAGACAGCCUUCUGAUUAUGGACAUUAUGAGUUGUUAUGAUGUCAUUUGGGUUGACGAACACACCCGUAGCAUUUAGGAAACCUAUAAAUGACGUUUUUGCGAACACUUGGAUAAGUGCAUGAUUGUAUUCAUCGAUGACACCUUGAUUUAUUCUCGGAGUACAGAGGAGCAUGCUGAGCAUUUAUGGAUUGGGUUGGGUAAGCUUGGAGAGAAGAAAUUGUUUGCUAGCUGAGUGAGUUUAGUUUCUAGCAAAGAAAAAAAAAUGGAUUUUUGGGUCAUGUGGUUUCAGAAGCAGAAAUUACUGUCGAUUAAAAAAAAAAUAAAAAAAAAUAAAGACUACUACAAUUCCAGAGUGACACUUAAAAGGUACAAAGAUAUGAAGUCUUUCUAUCAUUGGCUCACUAUGAAAAAUAUUAUAGCUACAUUGCGUUGUGUUAUCAGACAUGUCAGAUGGCUAUGUCAGAGGAUCAGAUACAUUUCAGGUUAUUGUUGAGCUUGCUUUUUCCGGCCUGGUGAUUAUGGAUGUUGUUACUGGAUUGUCGAUCACCACAUGUGAAAAAUAUGCCACACGGAUAACCAUGGAUAUACUUACCAAGUCAACCCAUUUUCUAGUAAUUACGAAGACGUAUAGAGUUGAUCAGUUGGUGCAGAUUUAUAUCAGCGUGAUUAUAAGGUUGCUUGGAGUUUAUGUCAUCAUUGUAUCGGAUCGCGAUUAGAAGUUUACGUCUGCAUUUUAGAGAGCCUUUCAGAAGGACAAAAGUCCAUAAGAAUAUGAUUUAUCAACCGCAGAUUGUCAGUCAGAGAGAACUAUGUUGAGCAUCUACAUCUAGCAGAGUUUCCUUACAUCGAGAGCUAUGGUUCGAGCAUUGAAAUUGCACUGUAUGAGACUCCUUAUGGUAGGCCUUGAUGUACACCACUUUGUUGGACCAAAGUAGGGGAGCGACGUGAGUUUAAACUAUUAAUGGUUCAAGAGACGGUAGAGAAAAUGAAUAUGCUCAAAAGUUUAGUUUUUAUGAAGCCAUGAUCGUCAGAGGAUUUAUGCAACUAAGUGACGUAAGAAUUUAGAGUUUCUAGCGAUUUAGUAUACUAAAAAUAAAGACAUUUCAGGAAGGAUCUAAAACUCAGAAGCUAAAGACGCCUAAGCCGAGUAUAUGGGACUGUACCUCACUGUGAAGCGGAUUAGAUUACAGUUAUCAGCAGAGUUGUCAGAAUUUCACGGCGUAUUUCAUGUGUGAGUUUUGAGAAAGGUCAUGAGUUAACCAGAGCUCAUUUUGCAGCAGCUACCAAGCGAUUCAAAAAAAAAAAUGUGUUGCGCGUUUUCAGCUAAUGGAGAUUAUGGAUCAA